UGGGGGUGCUGGCUGGUCACUCUUACAUAACGCCAUGCCGGAAACAGAGGAUCCUACUUUUCCCUAGUUGCUCUAGAGAAGGCAGGCAGGGAUGCUGGGAUGACAGGGCAAAAAGAUGGUGCUCUGGUGCCUUACUCCUUCCCUACAUCCUCAAUCUGGAGUCACAGGCUACGGCACCUGCAUCACAGACUUCGGGAGUUGGACAGGUCCAGAGCAGCAUUUCCGCCCUUGUCCCCAGCCUGGGCGCUGGAACCAGCGAGAAGCCCUCCCACCCACCUUCAAGCAGGGUGGCCCCACCUUUAUAUGUUUCCUGUCAUGAGGUUCCUGUGAAAGAUUGUGAGAAAAGGAUGCCACUGCCGAAAAUAUUUAAGAAGUAAGAUUUUGAAAUCCACGGAGUUAGUCCAAGCCUCUCCUACUUAUGCAGGGAUGAACUGAGGCCCAGAGGAGUCACAUGAUGGGCCAAGAUAAUACAGCUGUGACUGCCCAGCCGGCCCCACAUCAGGUCUCCCACCUUCAGCUAAUUCCCUCUUAAAUGGACCUCCGAGGAGGAGGAGCAGGGCCACAGCACGAGCGAGGCUGAUGGACACAGACCCGCCCAUCCACAUCCUCCCGGACUCUUGCAGCUGGCAGCAGAGAAAAUGAAAACGCAGGAAGAAGACAUGAAGCUGAAAGCGUGCCACGGCAGGGAUGUCAGGAGAAGCCAAACAUCUGGGCAGGGAGAUGGCAGGAUGCAGGGUGUUGGUGGGGACGCCGCCAGCCCGUGACCGGAAAGGGUGAAGGCUCCUCCCAGGACUGGGUCCGAACCAGGGCAGCCCUCACCCCCCUCCUCCCACAUGUCCGUCUCUCAGCCCAAGCAUGAGCAACUUCUGCUAGCACAUGGUGUUUUCUUUUUCCUGAAAUAAAAUAUCAUCACCUGAUCCUAGCUAAGUAA
Molecule: long non-coding RNA, 931 nt
Organism: Suricata suricatta (meerkat)
Lineage: Eukaryota; Metazoa; Chordata; Mammalia; Carnivora; Herpestidae
Exons: 2
Source: RefSeq, a predicted model, not a curated record